GACGAACGCUGGCGGCGUGCUUAACACAUGCAAGUCGAACGGAAAGGCCCUGCUUUUGUGGGGUGCUCGAGUGGCGAACGGGUGAGUAACACGUGAGUAACCUGCCCUUGACUUUGGGAUAACUUCAGGAAACUGGGGCUAAUACCGGAUAGGAGCUCCUGCUGCAUGGUGGGGGUUGGAAAGUUUCGGCGGUUGGGGAUGGACUCGCGGCUUAUCAGCUUGUUGGUGGGGUAGUGGCUUACCAAGGCUUUGACGGGUAGCCGGCCUGAGAGGGUGACCGGCCACGUUGGGACUGAGAUACGGCCCAGAUUCCUACGGGAGGCAGCAGUGGGGAAUAUUGCACAAUGGGCGGAAGCCUGAUGCAGCAACGCCGCGUGCGGGAUGACGGCCUUCGGGUUGUAAACCGCUUUCGCCUGUGACGAAGCGUGAGUGACGGUAAUGGGGAAAGAAGCACCGGCUAACUACGU
Molecule: ribosomal RNA, 467 nt
Filed under: uncultured bacterium
Lineage: Bacteria
Description: partial 16S ribosomal RNA
Rfam family: Bacterial small subunit ribosomal RNA
Source: RNAcentral